RNAcentral lists this ribosomal RNA (257 nucleotides) under uncultured bacterium. RNAcentral's name for it is "partial 16S ribosomal RNA". The record is from RNAcentral.
CUGCUGCCUCCCGUAGGAGUCUGGGCCGNGUCUCAGUCCCAAUGUGGCCGUCCACCCUCUCAGGCCGGCUACUGAUCGUCGCCUUGGUGUGCUUUUACCACUCCAACUAGCUAAUCAGACGCGGGUCCAUCUCAUACCAGAUUUCUCCUUUUCACACUAAAACAUGCGUUUCCGUGCGCUUAUGCGGUUUUACCACCAGUUUCCCGAUGCUAUCCCCCUGUAUGAGGCAGGUUGCCCACGCGUUACUCACCCGUCCG